AAACUAUGAUGCUUAUUGAAUUUCUUCACCUGAAAGUUCAUGAAGAUCAAAACUCGAGCUUUUUAACACUGAGUCUA
Molecule: small nucleolar RNA, 77 nt
Filed under: Orchesella cincta
Lineage: Eukaryota; Metazoa; Arthropoda; Collembola; Entomobryomorpha; Orchesellidae
Source: RNAcentral